UACGAAGGGGGCUAGCGUUGCUCGGAAUUACUGGGCGUAAAGGGCGCGUAGGCGGAUAGUUCAGUUGGGGGUGAAAGCCCGGGGCUCAACCUCGGAACUGCCUUCAAUACUGGCUAUCUUGAGUACGGGAGAGGUGUGUGGAACUCCGAGUGUAGAGGUGAAAUUCGUAGAUAUUCGGAAGAACACCAGUGGCGAAGGCAACACACUGGCCCGUUACUGACGCUGAGGCGCGAAAGCGUGGGGAGCAAACAGG
This 253-nucleotide ribosomal RNA is filed under the name uncultured bacterium. Its description in RNAcentral is "partial 16S ribosomal RNA". It matches the Rfam family "Bacterial small subunit ribosomal RNA", at positions 524 to 776 of the family's 1533-position model. The record is from RNAcentral.